This 203-nucleotide long non-coding RNA is filed under the name Nicotiana benthamiana. RNAcentral describes it as "long non-coding RNA (NBEN_LNC025704)". Lineage: Eukaryota; Viridiplantae; Streptophyta; Magnoliopsida; Solanales; Solanaceae. The record is from RNAcentral.
AGAACUAAUACUAACAUUAUAUCAUAAACUAACUAAUACGAGCUGAUACUAAUGACUAAUAGUUUAUCCACUAGCUAAUACAAAUAAGUAAAAUAAAAUUAAACAACUCCAUCAUCCUUAAUCAUGGAUCCGUCACCGAUGAAGUGGUCUAUUUUCCCCUCAGGGUGCUCAAAGAAGUCUGCCACAUCCAAGUGGGUGUUUUC